GAUUGUAGUUGGUCAUGGCGUAUGGCUCAAAAGAAUUGCUUUUCCGAAAUAAAAAACUACUAUCAAACCCUAGAGCUAAGGAGUGUGCCCAGGCCCAGGAGCUGCAUGCUGGCAGGUGCGAUGCCUUGAAGAUAUGGACGGGUGGGUUCCAUCGCAGGCAACACCAGCAAGGCCAUACAGGACGGAUACAAGCUCAAUCUUAAAAUGUGAAAUAUGCAAGCAAAAGAGAAGUCUAUGAAGCCAAUUUACUCGAAGGGAUUGUAGUCCGGAAUCUGGCAGAUUUGACAGUACAAAUGAUGACAGUACAGCUCGUCGUACGUUUUGUGAGCCAAAAAUAUUUUCUAAAAUCAGUAACAUUGAAGAGCUGCUCAUUGAAACAAUUUAGCAAUUCUGCUGUCCUCUUCUGCCUGUCAGCCCUGGAAUCCUCCUAAUUUUGUGCACUGUUGCACUCAUUGUAAACCAAGAGCCCUGUGCUUAUCAUACGUAAAAACAGCUGAGCACUUGUGAUGUGCCACAAAAUAACCACAAGAAACACUCAUUAGUGGGGAAAUAUGUUUAGGUUUAUUAUUUAAUAUACAUAUGUAGUAAUAUGUCC
Long non-coding RNA from Drosophila pseudoobscura, 595 nucleotides. RefSeq lists it as uncharacterized. Lineage: Eukaryota; Metazoa; Arthropoda; Insecta; Diptera; Drosophilidae. The record is from RefSeq and is a predicted model, not a curated record. The transcript has 3 exons.